Molecule: ribosomal RNA, 402 nt
Filed under: uncultured bacterium
Lineage: Bacteria
Description: bacterial SSU rRNA
Rfam family: Bacterial small subunit ribosomal RNA
Source: RNAcentral
UGGGGAAUUUUGGGCAAUGGGCGAAAGCCUGACCCAGCAACGCCGCGUGAAGGAUGAAGUCUUUCGGGAUGUAAACUUCGUAAGGAUAGGAAGAAUAAAUGACGGUACUAUUUGUAAGGUCCGGCUAACUACGUGCCAGCAGCCGCGGUAAUACGUAGGGACCAAGCGUUGUUCGGAUUUACUGGGCGUAAAGGGCGCGUAGGCGGCAAUUCAAGUCAGUUGUGAAAUCUCCGAGCUUAACUCGGAACGGUCAACUGAUACUGUUUUGCUAGAGUACAGAAGGGGCAAUCGGAAUUCUUGGUGUAGCGGUGAAAUGCGUAGAUAUCAAGAGGAACACCUGAGGUGAAGACGGGUUGCUGGGCUGAUACUGACGCUGAGGCGCGAAAGCUAGGGUAGCAAACG